This 253-nucleotide ribosomal RNA is filed under the name uncultured bacterium. Its description in RNAcentral is "partial 16S ribosomal RNA". It matches the Rfam family "Bacterial small subunit ribosomal RNA", at positions 524 to 776 of the family's 1533-position model. The record is from RNAcentral.
UACGUAGGGAGCAAGCGUUGUCCGGAAUCAUUGGGCGUAAAGCGCGCGUAGGUGGCUUCGUAAGUCCGUUGUGAAAGUCAAAGGCUCAACCUUUGAAAGCCGAUGGAUACUGCGGAGCUAGAGUACGGAAGAGGCGAGUGGAAUUCCUGGUGUAGCGGUGGAAUGCGCAGAUAUCAGGAGGAACACCGGUGGCGAAGGCGGAUCUCUGGGCCUUGCCUGACGCUGAGGCGCGAAAGCUAGGGGAGCGAACAGG